RNAcentral lists this ribosomal RNA (436 nucleotides) under uncultured Glomeromycotina. RNAcentral's name for it is "SSU rRNA". It matches the Rfam family "Eukaryotic small subunit ribosomal RNA", at positions 596 to 1037 of the family's 1831-position model. The record is from RNAcentral. Lineage: Eukaryota; Fungi; Glomeromycota.
AGCGUAUAUUAAAGUUGUUGCAGUUAAAAAGCUCGUAGUUGAAUUUCGGGAUCGAAUUGUUGGUCGUGCCUCGGUACGCACUGGCAUUAUCGGUUCCUACCUUCUGAAGAACCGCGAUGUCAUUAAUUUGGUGUCGUGGGGAAUCAGGACUGUUACUUUGAAAAAAUUAGAGUGUUUAAAGCAGGCUUACGCUUGAAUACAUUAGCAUGGAAUAAUGAAAUAGGACGUUUGAUUCUAUUUUGUUGGUUUCUAGGAUCGACGUAAUGAUUAAUAGGGAUAGUUGGGGGCAUUAGUAUUCAAUUGUCAGAGGUGAAAUUCUUGGAUUUAUUGAAGACUAACUACUGCGAAAGCAUUUGCCAAGGAUGUUUUCAUUAAUCAAGAACGAAAGUUAGGGGAUCGAAGACGAUCAGAUACCGUCGUAGUCUUAACCAUAAAC